Limulus polyphemus (Atlantic horseshoe crab) is the source of this 2994-nucleotide RNA transcript. It is a transcript of the gene named adipocyte plasma membrane-associated protein-like, with no coding region annotated. NCBI's taxonomy places the organism in Eukaryota, Metazoa, Arthropoda, Merostomata, Xiphosura, Limulidae. The transcript has 6 exons. The record is from RefSeq and is a predicted model, not a curated record.
AUACGUCCGUUUAUGUAAGUACUAUAUCCGUCUGUUUAUGUAAGUACUAUAUCCGUCUAUUUAUGUAAGUACUACAUCCAUCCGUUUAUGUAAGUACUAUAUCCGUUUGUUUAUGUAAGUACUAUAUCCGUCUGUUUAUGUAAGUACUAUAUCCGUCUGUUUAUGUAAGUACUAUAUCCGUCUAUUUAUGUAAGUACUACAUCCGUCUGUUUAUGUAACUAUUAUAACCGUCUUUUUAUGUAAGUACUAUAUGUUUAUUUAUGUUUGCCAUUUAGCUCCAAGAGAGAAACAUAAAAAUAUUUGGAACUCGAGAGGAAGGCCUUUAGGUCUAAAAUUUGACAGCAAAGGAAACCUUUAUGUAGCAGAUGCCUUCUGUGGACUACUAAAAGUAGAUGUUACAACAGGAACUGUUAAACGGUUGCUUCCAAUAUCGACCGUUGUGGAGGGUAAGGCGGUCAGUAUGCCUGACGAUUUGGCGAUCGACGAACAAGAAGGAGUUAUCUAUUUUACAGAUUCUACCACCAGGUGGUCACUUCGGGAUCUCAUUUUCAUCUGUCUGGAACAUGAAAACUCGGGAAGGGUAAUAGCUUUUAACCUUACCACAAACCAAGCGUCAGUGAUCGUGGACUCUAUGUACUUUCCAAAUGGCAUACAGCUGUCUCAUGAUGGCAGUUUUCUACUGAUUGCUGAAUGGAGCAAGUUUAGGAUAAUGAAAUACUAUCUUAAAGGAGAGUUCAAAGGAGUACUAGAGAUUUUCAUCGACAAUCUCCCUGGAGAGCCUGACAAUAUCCGACCAAGUACAAGUGAAGGUUACUGGGUAACACUAACUGGGGGAAGGAGUAGAGGGCGCCCGUCAUUGGUUGAUAUUAGUUCCGAAUAUCCCUUUGUCAAGAAAGUAGUGGUGAGAACUUCCCACCUUCUCGGCUCUCUCUUGGAACAACUCACCAGUAUCUGGCCGCUUGAGUUUUUAACAAAAACUAGUGAAAAUUUACGCCAUUUAAAUUACAUGUUUCAAUGGGCAUCUCAUCAUGGCCUAGUGAUAGAAGUGGAUGAAAAUGGAAACAUAAACCGAAGUCUCCAUUCUCCGGAUGGUAAGAUCCCCAUCCCUACUGAGGCUUCUGAAAAUAACGGCCAUCUUUACAUCGGAUCCUACUUCAAUGAUUUUGUAGCAAGAGUAAAGCUUUAAGUUCUGAGCAAACUACGCCUAUCACCAGAUUAAAAGCCUCAUUACCCAUUGUAUAAUACCCCUAACGGUGAAAAACAUUAAAUACAAAACUCUUAAAAUAUCACCUCUUGAUUUAUAAUAUUAAAGAUGUAUACUCCAUUAAAGUUAAAAUGCACAAAAUAUAGCUCCAGUUAAAACCCAUAAAAUUUGGUUUUAGUUAUAACCCAUAAAAUCAGUUUUAGUUAAAAUUUCAGUGUCGUAGCGCCUCUCCCCUCCUCCACCGGUGGUUCAUCCGUAAGUCUGUGGGCUCAUGACACUUAAAUCCAGGUUUCAAUACCUUCGGUGGGAGGAACAGAGGUAGCCCAUCGUGUAGCUUUGUGCUUAUCAACAAAACAAACAAAUCAGUGCGAUACAUUUUGACUAUUACUUCUAUUUACGAUGUGUUUGGGUUAAUAUGUUGAUUUUCGACAUUCAAAAAUUAUUUGUACCCCCGAUUGAUAGAUAUUGUUUUUGUCGUUUUCAUCUUGAAAUGUCUAAGAUCGCUUAAUUGUAUAUCGUCACCUUCCUUUUAUCAAAUACCGAAAAAAAAAAAAAGAAUUUCAACAAAUGUUUAAUAUUUUCUAUAAAAACUGAGAAUUGCUCGUUAACACAAUGAAUUGAUUUGAUGACGAGGAACCCACUUUGAAACAAUAAAGUCUGAAGACAGCUUUGAGUGGGCAAUCAAGAAAACUUCGUAACAAGUUUAACAUAGUAACAAGGUUUUUGUCAUUAGCAGAUCUGGCCUAGACUUGGUGAAGUUCAUAAUUGUGUAUGUUACAGAUCUGGCCUAGAUUUGGUGAAGUUCAUAAUUGUGUAUGUUACAGAUCUGGUCUGGACUUGGCGAAGUUCAUAAUUGUGUAUGUUACAGAUCUGGUCUGGUCUUGGUGAAGUUCGUAAUUGUGUAUGUUACAGAUCUGGCCUAGAUUUGGUGAAGUUCAUAAUUGUGUAUGUUACAGAUCUGGCCUAGAUUUGGUGAAGUUCAUAAUUGUGUAUGUUACAGAUCUGUCCUAGAUUUGGUGAAGUUCAUAAUUGUGUAUGUUACAGAUCUGGUCUGGACUUGGCGAAGUUCAUAAUUGUGUAUGUUACAGAUCUGGUCUGGACUUGGUGAAGUUCAUAAUUGUGUAUGUUACAGAUCUGGCCUAGAUUUGGUGAAGUUCAUAAUUGUGUAUGUUACAAAUCUGGUCUGGACUUGGUGAAGUUCAAUGUAAAAAUAUACUUUUGUGUUUAUAAUAGUUAUAUUACUUUCAACGAACAAGUAUAUAAACAAACUGUGGGUAUUUGAAUGGAGUCAAUUUCUCUUCAAACAUGACCAACCUGAAACAGGUAUUAAAACAUAAUUUAUACAUCUCCACAUUCCUUUCUCUUCAAACAUGACUAACCUGAAACAGGUAUUAAAACAUAAUUUAUACAUCUCCACAUUCCGUUACAUAGAUGACUUAAUUUACAUAAAUAACUUGAAUUUUACUCCAAACUUAAUAUAUCAGGAAUAACUCGUAACAGAAAGAAGCAAUAGUAAUGAUGUUCAUACUAAUUAUUUAGAUUUAGAUAUUAAUUUUGUAGAGGGCAGAGUACUGUUGACUGGUUUUGAUAAAAUAAGAUAAUUUAAUUUUCCCAUCCUUUGUCUACCCACCCCCAGUAGUGUUAUUCCGUGUAUAAUGUUAAAAGGUAUUAUUAUAUCUCAGUUAACAAGGUUUUUAAUAGUCUGUAACCAUAGUAAUUCUGUUAUGGAUAAUGUUUUAUUAAUUAUAAGUAAACUGAAAAAUAACGGAUAUAAAGACUGGCAAUUAAAU